CAUCGGCAGUAAUAAAGCAUCCUGCCCAGGGAAAGCUUGGGUUGCCAUGGGAACGGGGUGACAGUGGAUAAUCCUGGUGACAACACCGGACGAGCUCAGAGCGGGCUCUGCUGACCCGUGAAAUAAUUUACAUGGGACUGAAGACAAACUCCAUGGCAGGGGAAGGGAAGCAACUGCAGGAGCAACGGGAUGACAGAGACACUCUAUGUUCCCCCAGCCCCCGUGCCCGCAGCUCAUCAGUGGGUCUGAACUGUUUGAUUAUCCAAUGCAAAGGGAAUUAACCACAGUUUUAAUCUCGUGGAACACAGCAACCUCCAGGACUCACCCGCACCGCUGCACCCAGCGUCCAGCUGAUUAAUGGCUUCAGACAUUUUGCACCUACAACACUUGAGUCCUUCCAACAAAAGCUGUUAGCGCUUCUCCUCAAAGGAAGCGACGUUGCCAAAACCUGGAGGUACCACCACAAAGAUCCAUAUCUGAGAUCAAAAUAUCACACUGUGUGUUUCUCUCGGGGAGAACGCGAAUGAGGCAGACGUGCCUUCCUGCAGCAGCUCCCAGCUUUGUGCUCCAUGGAGAUCCCCAGGGCCCCUGGCUGCCGCCAGCCACCAGCACUUCAUCCCCUGCUGCUGCACGCCUGGUGCCACAAAGGCACUGAAGUUACACCUCAUUUUCUAUUAAUUAUACUCUGAAAAAGCCAGGCACGAACGCAAGGCAGCCCUGCCCUGCAGCAGUCCUCCUCUGUCCAUGCUUCAACCAUGCUGCA
This 763-nucleotide long non-coding RNA is filed under the name Gallus gallus (chicken). Its description in RNAcentral is "long non-coding RNA NONGGAT002849". Lineage: Eukaryota; Metazoa; Chordata; Aves; Galliformes; Phasianidae. The record is from RNAcentral.